GAUGAACGCUGGCGGCGUGCCUAAUACAUGCAAGUCGAGCGAACGGACGAGAAGCUUGCUUUUCUGAUGUUAGCGGCGGACGGGUGAGUAACACGUGGAUAACCUACCUAUAAGACUGGGAUAACUUCGGGAAACCGGAGCUAAUACCGGAUAAUAUUUUGAACCGCAUGGUUCAAAAGUGAAAGACGGUCUUGCUGUCACUUAUAGAUGGAUCCGCGCUGCAUUAGCUAGUUGGUAAGGUAACGGCUUACCAAGGCAACGAUGCAUAGCCGACCUGAGAGGGUGAUCGGGCACCCUGGAAGUGAGGCUGGGCCCAGACUCCGACGGGAGGAAGCAGUAGGGAAUCCUCCGCGAUGGGGGAAAGCCUGACGGAGCGACGCCGCGUGAGGGAUGAAGGUCUUCGGAUCGUAAAACUCUGUUAUUAGGGAAGAACAAAUAUGUAAGUAACUGUGCACAUCUUGACGGUACCUAAUCAGAAAGCCACGGCUAACUACGUG
This 497-nucleotide ribosomal RNA is filed under the name uncultured bacterium. RNAcentral describes it as "partial 16S ribosomal RNA". It matches the Rfam family "Bacterial small subunit ribosomal RNA", at positions 28 to 507 of the family's 1533-position model. The record is from RNAcentral.